AGGGUGACAGGUGGUGCAGUGGUUGUCGUCAGCUCGUGUCGUGAGAUGUUGGGUUAAGUCCCGCAACGAGCGCAACCCUUGUCCUAUGUUGCCAGCAUUAAGUUGGGGACUCAUGGGAGACUGCCGGCGUCAAGCCGGAGGAAGUGGGGAUGACGUCAAGUCAUCAUGCCCCUUAUGUCCUGGGCUGCACACGUGCUACAAUGGCCGGUACAAUGGGCUGCGAUACCGUGAGGUGGAGCGAAUCCCAUAAAACCGGCCCCAGUUCGGAUCGAAGGCUGCAACUCGCCUUCGUGAAGUCGGAGUUGCUAGUAAUCGCGGAUCAGCAUGCCGCGGUGAAUACGUUCCCGGGCCUU
This 353-nucleotide ribosomal RNA is filed under the name uncultured Coriobacteriaceae bacterium. RNAcentral's name for it is "bacterial SSU rRNA". It matches the Rfam family "Bacterial small subunit ribosomal RNA", at positions 1028 to 1382 of the family's 1533-position model. Lineage: Bacteria; Bacillati; Actinomycetota; Coriobacteriia; Coriobacteriales; Coriobacteriaceae. The record is from RNAcentral.